RNAcentral lists this ribosomal RNA (432 nucleotides) under Capnocytophaga gingivalis. RNAcentral describes it as "bacterial SSU rRNA". It matches the Rfam family "Bacterial small subunit ribosomal RNA", at positions 28 to 462 of the family's 1533-position model. The record is from RNAcentral. Lineage: Bacteria; Pseudomonadati; Bacteroidota; Flavobacteriia; Flavobacteriales; Flavobacteriaceae.
GAUGAACGCUAGCGGCAGGCCUAACACAUGCAAGUCGAGGGAGAAGCCCUUUCGGGGGCAGAAACCGGCGCACGGGUGCGUAACGCGUAUGCAACCUACCUUUCACAGGGGGAUAGCCCGAAGAAAUUUGGAUUAAUACCCCAUAAUAUUAUUGGAUGGCAUCAUUUGAUAAUUAAAACUGCGGUGGUGAAAGAUGGGCAUGCGUCCUAUUAGCUAGUUGGAGUGGUAACGGCACCCCAAGGCUACGAUAGGUAGGGGUCCUGAGAGGGAGAUCCCCCACACUGGUACUGAGACAGGGACCAGACUCCUACGGGAGGCAGCAGUGAGGAAUAUUGGUCAAUGGUCGGAAGACUGAACCAGCCAUGCCGCGUGCAGGAAGAAUGCCUUAUGGGUUGUAAACUGCUUUUAUAUGGGAAGAAUAAGGCGUACGAG